UUCCUCUAAGAGUUUUAUAGUGUCUUGUCUUACAUUUAGGUCUUUAAUCCAUUUGGAGUUUAUUUUUGUGUAAGGAUGGUGUUAGGGAGUGUUCUAAUUUCAUUCUUUUACAUGUAGCUGUCCAGUUCUCCCAGCACCACUUAUUGAAGAGACUGUCUUUUCUCCAUUGUAUAUCCUUGCCUCCUUUGUCAUAGAUUAGUUGACCAUAGGUGUGUGGGUUUAUCUCAGCUGUUAACAUUAUGGGACUUCCCUUGUAUGUUAUUUGGAAGCCCUCCCUUGUUGCUUUUAAUAAGUUUUCUUUGUCUUUAAUUUUUGUCAAUUUGGUUACUAUGUGUCUUGGCGUGUUUCUCCUUGGGUUUUUCCUGCCUGGGACUCUCUGUGCUUCCUGAACUUGGGUGGCUAUUUCUUUUCCCAUGUUAGGGAAGUUUUCCGCUAUAAUCUCUUCAGAUAUUUUCUCAGGUCCUUUCUCUGUCUCUUCGCCUUCUGGGACCCCUAUAAUGUGAAUGUUGUUACGUUUAAUGUUGUUCCAGAGGUCUCUUAGGCUGUCUUCAUUUCUUUUCUCUUUAUUCUGUUCCAUGGCAGUGAAUUCUGCCAUUCUGUCUUUCAGGUCACUUAUCUGUUCUUUUGCCUCCUUUAUUCUGCUAUUGAUUCCUUCUAAUGUAUUUUUCAUUUCAGUUAUUGUAUUGUUCAUCUCUGUUUGUUUGUUCUUUAAUUCUUUUAGUUGUUUGUUCUUUAAUUCUUCUAGGUCUUUGUUAAACAUUUCUUGUGUCUUCUUUUUUUAAAA
Kogia breviceps (pygmy sperm whale) is the source of this 784-nucleotide non-coding RNA. NCBI's taxonomy places the organism in Eukaryota, Metazoa, Chordata, Mammalia, Artiodactyla, Physeteridae. The record is from RefSeq and is a predicted model, not a curated record.